RNAcentral lists this ribosomal RNA (467 nucleotides) under uncultured bacterium. Its description in RNAcentral is "partial 16S ribosomal RNA". It matches the Rfam family "Bacterial small subunit ribosomal RNA", at positions 28 to 507 of the family's 1533-position model. The record is from RNAcentral.
GACGAACGCUGGCGGCGUGCUUAACACAUGCAAGUCGAACGGAAAGGCCUCUUUCGGGGGGUACUCGAGUGGCGAACGGGUGAGUAACACGUGAGUAACCUGCCCUUGACUUUGGGAUAACUUCAGGAAACUGGGGCUAAUACCGGAUAGGAGCUCCUGCUGCAUGGUGGGGGUUGGAAAGUUUCGGCGGUUGGGGAUGGACUCGCGGCUUAUCAGCUUGUUGGUGGGGUAGUGGCUUACCAAGGCUUUGACGGGUAGCCGGCCUGAGAGGGUGACCGGCCACAUUGGGACUGAGAUACGGCCCAGACUCCUACGGGAGGCAGCAGUGGGGAAUAUUGCACAAUGGGUGGAAGCCUGAUGCAGCAACGCCGUGGGCGGGAUGACGGCCUUCGGGUUGUAAACCGCUUUCGCUCAUGACGAAGCUUUGUGUGACGGUAGUGGGUGAAGAAGCACCGGCUAACUACGUG